Molecule: long non-coding RNA, 584 nt
Organism: Aplysia californica (California sea hare)
Lineage: Eukaryota; Metazoa; Mollusca; Gastropoda; Aplysiida; Aplysiidae
Exons: 2
Source: RefSeq, a predicted model, not a curated record
UCACCGGCCUCUUUUCCUGCAGAGAGCAAGAAAAUGAGCAGGGCGUCAGUCUAGAGGAUGUCAAGGAGGAAGGUGAAGAUGAUCAAGAUGAUGCUGAUGAAAACCUCUACCGGUAUUUACACAACAAACGACACUAAGGAGAUUUUUGUUUGUUUGCUGUUUUAACACAGAGGAAUCCAAAUUGGUGGCCUCGGAGGACAGUCUACGUCCAGGGGCUUGAACCAACGCAGAUGUGAAAAGAAAAUAAUAUGUGCAGAGAAGAGAACCAAGUAGAAAACGGAGGUUCCCUUGGCACUGGACACAACUACCCCUCACAGCCCCCCUCCCCCUUCCCGCUCGGUAUAAGAACGAACUGUGUUACCCAGUGACCUCACAACUCAGUCAAUCGCUGGUCUUCUGCCACUGCUGGGAUGUUGUAUCCCUCUCAGCCCAGGCUGGCCCUGACUGGCAGAGUCGGAAGCCCGCCUCCCAAGCGGUCUAAAAUGUGUCGACGAGGGUGUAAAACAGCUACAUGUUUAAACAAACUUGUCUUUCGCCAAUACAGCAGUGCAAUCUGCAGCAGUCACGGUGUGUCUGAAACUGAU